UGAGGAGUGAACAUAUUCUACGCACUCGUGACCCUGGGAUCAAACACCUGCUCCAGGUCCUCGGCCAUCUCCACAGAGCAAACCAGAAAUCUGUAGAGACCCAGACAGUUCCAGACAGUACCUUUUGUAUGGAGGAGGGUAACUUCAAACUCAUAUUUCUAGAGGAGGACGUAAAGCUUUGGCGUUUAUGGUCAAAGCAGGAUGUGGAUCAGACACCUGCCAUCUUUUGUCGUUACCCAUUCUUGAUGAAUCUGCAGAGCAAGAUAAGCGUUUUUAACAUCAACGCCGCACUU
Long non-coding RNA from Salvelinus namaycush (lake trout), 293 nucleotides. RefSeq lists it as uncharacterized. NCBI's taxonomy places the organism in Eukaryota, Metazoa, Chordata, Actinopteri, Salmoniformes, Salmonidae. The transcript has 3 exons. The record is from RefSeq and is a predicted model, not a curated record.